This 486-nucleotide ribosomal RNA is filed under the name uncultured bacterium. RNAcentral describes it as "partial 16S ribosomal RNA". It matches the Rfam family "Bacterial small subunit ribosomal RNA", at positions 30 to 507 of the family's 1533-position model. The record is from RNAcentral.
AUUGAACGCUGGCGGCGUGCUUAACACAUGCAAGUCGAGCGGUAGCAGGCGUAGCAAUACGUGCUGACGAGCGGCGAACGGGUGAGUAAUGCUUCGGAAUCUUCCUAGUAGUGGGGAACAACCUUGGGAAACUCAGGCUAAUACCGCAUACGACCUACGGGUCAAAGCAGGGGAUCGCAAGACCUUGCGCUAUUAGUUGAGCCGAAGUCGGAUUAGCUAGUUGGUGAGGUAAAGGCUCACCAAGGCGACGAUCCGUAGCUGGUCUGAGAGGACGACCAGCCACACUGGAACUGAGACAGAGUCCAGACUCCUACGGGAGGCAGCAGUGGGGAAUAUUGGACAAUGGGGGAGACCCUGAUACAGCGACGCCGCGUGUGUGAAGAAGGCCUGCGGGUUGGAAAGCACUUAUGGUGGGGACAAAAAGAACAGGGCUAAUACGCUUGUGUAUUGAUUUAACCCAGAGAAUAAGCACCGGCUAACUCUGUG